RNAcentral lists this ribosomal RNA (490 nucleotides) under uncultured bacterium. RNAcentral's name for it is "partial 16S ribosomal RNA". It matches the Rfam family "Bacterial small subunit ribosomal RNA", at positions 28 to 507 of the family's 1533-position model. The record is from RNAcentral.
GAUGAACGCUAGCUACAGGCUUAACACAUGCAAGUCGCGGGGCAGCAUGGGGGUUGCUUGCAAUCCCCGAUGGCGACCGGCGCACGGGUGAGUAACGCGUAUCCAACCUGCCCUUCACCACGGGAUAACCCGGCGAAAGUCGGACUAAUACCGUAUGUUGUCCAUUGACGGCAUCCGAUUUGGACGAAAGGUUUGGCGGAGAAGGAUGGGGAUGCGUCCGAUUAGCUGGACGGCGGGGUGACGGCCCACCGUGGCGACGAUCGGUAGGGGUUCUGAGAGGAAGGUCCCCCACACUGGAACUGAGACACGGUCCAGACUCCUACGGGAGGCAGCAGUGAGGAAUAUUGGUCAAGGGGCGUAAGCCGGAACCAGCCAAGUAGCGUGCAGGAGGACGGCCCUAUGGGUUGUAAACUGCUUUUAUGCGGGGAUAAAGUAGCCCACGUGUGGGUUUUUGCAGGUACCGCAUGAAUAAGGACCGGCUAAUUCCGUG